Molecule: ribosomal RNA, 501 nt
Filed under: uncultured bacterium
Lineage: Bacteria
Description: partial 16S ribosomal RNA
Rfam family: Bacterial small subunit ribosomal RNA
Source: RNAcentral
AUUGAACGCUGGCGGCAGGCUUAACACAUGCAAGUCGAGCGGAGAUGAGGUGCUUGCACCUUAUCUUAGCGGCGGACGGGUGAGUAAUGCUUAGGAAUCUGCCUAUUAGUGGGGGACAACGUUCCGAAAGGAAUGCUAAUACCGCAUACGUCCUACGGGAGAAAGCAGGGGAUCUUCGGACCUUGCACUAAUAGAUGAGCCUAAGUCGGAUUAGCUAGUUGGUGGGGUAAAGGCCUACCAAGGCGACGAUCUGUAGCGGGUCUGAGAGGAUGAUCCGCCACACUGGGACUGAGACACGGCCCAGACUCCUACGGGAGGCAGCAGUGGGGAAUAUUGGACAAUGGGGGGAACCCUGAUCCAGCCAUGCCGCGUGUGUGAAGAAGGCCUUAUGGUUGUAAAGCACUUUAAGCGAGGAGGAGGCUACUGAGACUAAUACUCUUGGAUAGUGGACGUUACUCGCAGAAUAAGCACCGGCUAACUCUGUGCCAGCAGCCGCGGUAA